UUAUAACAUGUAUAAAAAUAUAGCCACUAAAAACAAUCGUUUAAAAACUAAAGAACUUGGCGGUGCUUUAUAAAAUCAGGGGAGCUUGUUCCUUAAUAUGAUAAUCCACAAAUAUCUAUCUAUAUCUAGAAACCAUCAGUCUGUAUACUGCCGUCAUUGUUUAUCUUAAAAAACUAAACAAUUAACAUAAAUUACCAUCUUAAUAACAGGUCAAAGUGCAACUUAUGAUAUAGCGACCAUGUGCUACACUUAUAAUAAGAAAUAUAUAAAGCAUAUAAAUUUAAAGAACUUGACAGUAAUUAACUUUUACUAAAAAUUAAUUAAUAACUAAUAAACCAUGCACACAUCGCCCGUCACUCUCACUGAAAAUCG
RNAcentral lists this ribosomal RNA (372 nucleotides) under Olavius ilvae. RNAcentral describes it as "partial 12S ribosomal RNA". Lineage: Eukaryota; Metazoa; Annelida; Clitellata; Tubificida; Naididae. The record is from RNAcentral.